Molecule: ribosomal RNA, 277 nt
Filed under: Streptomyces sp. MS191
Lineage: Bacteria; Bacillati; Actinomycetota; Actinomycetes; Kitasatosporales; Streptomycetaceae
Also listed under: 1 other name
Description: Streptomyces sp. ms191 partial 16S ribosomal RNA
Rfam family: Bacterial small subunit ribosomal RNA
Source: RNAcentral
GAAUCUCAAAAAGCCGGUCUCAGUUCGGAUUGGGGUCUGCAACUCGACCCCAUGAAGUCGGAGUUGCUAGUAAUCGCAGAUCAGCAUUGCUGCGGUGAAUACGUUCCCGGGCCUUGUACACACCGCCCGUCACGUCACGAAAGUCGGUAACACCCGAAGCCGGUGGCCCAACCCCUUGUGGGAGGGAGCUGUCGAAGGUGGGACUGGCGAUUGGGACGAAGUCGUAACAAGGUAGCCGUACCGGAAGGUGCGGCUGGAUCACCUCCUUUCUAAGGAG